GACGAACGCUGGCGGCGUGCUUAACACAUGCAAGUCGAACGGAAAGGCCCUGCUUUUGUGGGGUGCUCGAGUGGCGAACGGGUGAGUAACACGUGAGUAACCUGCCCUUGACUUUGGGAUAACUUCAGGAAACUGGGGCUAAUACCGGAUAGGAGCUCCUGCUGCAUGGUGGGGGUUGGAAAGUUUCGGCGGUUGGGGAUGGACUCGCGGCUUAUCAGCUUGUUGGUGGGGUAGUGGCUUACCAAGGCUUUGACGGGUAGCCGGCCUGAGAGGGUGACCGGCCACAUUGGGACUGAGGUACGGCCCAGACUCCUACGGGAGGCAGCAGUGGGGAAUAUUGCACAAUGGGCGGAAGCCUGAUGCAGCAACGCCGCGUGCGGGAUGACGGCCUUCGGGUUGUAAACCGCUUUCGCCGGUGACGAAGCGUGAGUGACGGUAAUGGGUAAAGAAGCACCGGCUAACUACGUG
Molecule: ribosomal RNA, 468 nt
Filed under: uncultured bacterium
Lineage: Bacteria
Description: partial 16S ribosomal RNA
Rfam family: Bacterial small subunit ribosomal RNA
Source: RNAcentral